RNAcentral lists this transfer RNA (72 nucleotides) under Micromonospora polyrhachis. It matches the Rfam family "tRNA". Rfam says of the family: Transfer RNA (tRNA) molecules are approximately 80 nucleotides in length. Their secondary structure includes four short double-helical elements and three loops (D, anti-codon, and T loops). Further hydrogen bonds mediate the characteristic L-shaped molecular structure. tRNAs have two regions of fundamental functional importance: the anti-codon, which is responsible for specific mRNA codon recognition, and the 3' end, to which the tRNAs corresponding amino acid is attached (by aminoacyl-tRNA synthetases). tRNAs cope with the degeneracy of the genetic code in two manners: having more than one tRNA (with a specific anti-codon) for a particular amino acid; and 'wobble' base-pairing, i.e. permitting non-standard base-pairing at the 3rd anti-codon position. The record is from Rfam by way of RNAcentral. Lineage: Bacteria; Bacillati; Actinomycetota; Actinomycetes; Micromonosporales; Micromonosporaceae.
UCGGCCGUGGUGUAAUUGGCAACACGGUGCCCUUUGGAGGCACUUUUCCAGGUUCGAGUCCUGGCGGCCGAG